Molecule: long non-coding RNA, 848 nt
Organism: Musca domestica (house fly)
Lineage: Eukaryota; Metazoa; Arthropoda; Insecta; Diptera; Muscidae
Exons: 3
Source: RefSeq, a predicted model, not a curated record
UUCAUUAUGCCUCCGAUUCUGAAUCCAUUUUCACUAAAUUUGACGGAGACACUUUAAUCUUUUACACCCAGUAACAUUGCUAUAGACUGCAUGAUAUCACUUCGAGAAGAAUUAUAUAAAAAAUAUAUAUAUCUAAGCCGAGUUCCACCAAAUCGGGUUAAGGAUAUACAUAGGAGCUACAUCAAAAUCUUAGCCGAAAAUUUAGCAAAGAUCAUUUGGACGAUAUUGGAUAUUUGGUGCACAAUUAACCCGAAAUCGGUUGAAGAUAUAUAUGGGACCUAUAUACAAAUCUGAACCAAUCUUGAUCUAAUUUGCAGAGGUUUUUCUGGACUGUAUCUGAUAUCUGGUACUAAAUAUCAUUCUUGUGGGGCGCAUAUUACGAAUGUGGGGGACUUAAAACCCCAAAUCGGAUGAAACAUAUAUAUGGGAGCUAUAGCUAUAUCUGAUCCAGAUUUGAUCAAAAUUGAUGUACUUGCUUCUAGACUGAAUUCGGUCGGAUGUACCAAAAAUCAGCACUGAAAUGAAUAGAGAAUGGGAGAAAUGUUGCAAUGAAUCUGCGUGCUACAUGAUGGCAGCUAGAAGGGAGUUUUGAAACUUCUAUAAAAUCUAAGAGAAUUUCUGAAUACGCGAAACUAGAAACAUAAUGUUGCAGGAUAUUUAAAGCUCUCUGAACCUACUUCUAAAAAUUUAAAAGAAUUCAAUACCAACAAAGUAAUUAAUUACUAAAAAAAUUGAGGAUUGGGACCGUAACGGUGGGAAGAGAUCUGUCCACAUGUUCGUGAUUUCAGAAUAAUUCAUUGCUUGAACUGUAACAGAACUUCUACCGAUAAGAGACAAACUGUCGAAAG